RNAcentral lists this ribosomal RNA (497 nucleotides) under uncultured bacterium. Its description in RNAcentral is "partial 16S ribosomal RNA". It matches the Rfam family "Bacterial small subunit ribosomal RNA", at positions 28 to 507 of the family's 1533-position model. The record is from RNAcentral.
GAUGAACGCUGGCGGCGUGCCUAAUACAUGCAAGUCGAGCGAACAGAUAAGGAGCUUGCUCCUUUGACGUUAGCGGCGGACGGGUGAGUAACACGUGGGUAACCUACCUAUAAGACUGGGAUAACUUCGGGAAACCGGAGCUAAUACCGGAUAAUAUUUCGAACCGCAUGGUUCGAUAGUGAAAGAUGGAUUUGCUAUCACUUAUAGAUGGACCCGCGCCGGAUUAGCUAGUUGGUAGGGUAACGGCUUACCAAGGCGACGAUACGUAGCCGACCUGAGAGGAUGAUCAGCCACACUGGAACUGAGACACGGUCCAGACUCCUACGGGAGGCAGCAGUAGGGAAUCUUCCGCAAUGGGCGAAAGCCUGACGGAGCAACGCCGCGUGAGUGAUGAAGGUCUUCGGAUCGUAAAACUCUGUUAUUAGGGAAGAACAUACGUGUAAGUAACUGUGCACGUCUUGACGGUACCUAAUGAGAAAGCCACGGCUAACUACGUG